RNAcentral lists this transfer RNA (77 nucleotides) under Methylotenera sp. Its description in RNAcentral is "tRNA-Met". It matches the Rfam family "tRNA". Rfam says of the family: Transfer RNA (tRNA) molecules are approximately 80 nucleotides in length. Their secondary structure includes four short double-helical elements and three loops (D, anti-codon, and T loops). Further hydrogen bonds mediate the characteristic L-shaped molecular structure. tRNAs have two regions of fundamental functional importance: the anti-codon, which is responsible for specific mRNA codon recognition, and the 3' end, to which the tRNAs corresponding amino acid is attached (by aminoacyl-tRNA synthetases). tRNAs cope with the degeneracy of the genetic code in two manners: having more than one tRNA (with a specific anti-codon) for a particular amino acid; and 'wobble' base-pairing, i.e. permitting non-standard base-pairing at the 3rd anti-codon position. Lineage: Bacteria; Pseudomonadati; Pseudomonadota; Betaproteobacteria; Nitrosomonadales; Methylophilaceae. The record is from RNAcentral.
AGCGGGAUGGAGAAGUGGUUAUCUCGUAUGGCUCAUAACCAUAAGGUCGCGGUGUUCGAAUCCCGCUCCCGCUACGA